GACGAACGCUGGCGGCGUGCUUAACACAUGCAAGUCGAACGGUAAGGCCCUUCGGGGUACACGAGUGGCGAACGGGUGAGUAACACGUGGGUGAUCUGCCCUGCACUUCGGGAUAAGCCUGGGAAACUGGGUCUAAUACCGGAUAGGACUCCGGACUGCAUGGUCUGGGGUGGAAAGCUUUUGCGGUGUGGGAUGGGCCCGCGGCCUAUCAGCUUGUUGGUGGGGUGAUGGCCUACCAAGGCGACGACGGGUAGCCGGCCUGGGAGGGUGACCGGCCACACUGGGACGGGGAUACGGCCCGGACUCCUACGGGAGGCAGCAGUGGGGAAUAUUGCACAAUGGGCGCAAGCCUGAUGCAGCGACGCCGCGUGAGGGAUGACGGCCUUCGGGUUGUAAACCUCUUUCAGCAUCGACGAAGCGAAAGUGACGGUAGGUGCAGAAGAAGGACCGGCCAACUACGUGCCAGCCGCCGCUGUAA
This 478-nucleotide ribosomal RNA is filed under the name uncultured bacterium. Its description in RNAcentral is "partial 16S ribosomal RNA". It matches the Rfam family "Bacterial small subunit ribosomal RNA", at positions 28 to 523 of the family's 1533-position model. The record is from RNAcentral.